GAUGAACGCUGGCGGCGUGCCUAAUACAUGCAAGUCGAGCGAACAGAUGAGGAGCUUGCUCCUCUGACGUUAGCGGCGGACGGGUGAGUAACACGUGGAUAACCUACCUAUAAGACUGGGAUAACUUCGGGAAACCGGAGCUAAUACCGGAUAAUAUAUUGAACCGCAUGGUUCAAUAGUGAAAGACGGUUUUGCUGUCACUUAUAGAUGGAUCCGCGCCGCAUUAGCUAGUUGGUAAGGUAACGGCUUACCAAGGCAACGAUGCGUAGCCGACCUGAGAGGGUGAUCGGCCACACUGGAACUGAGACACGGUCCAGACUCCUACGAGAGGCAGCAGUAGGGAAUCUUCCGCAAUGGGCGAAAGCCUGACGGAGCAACGCCGCGUGAGUGAUGAAGGUCUUCGGAUCGUAAAACUCUGUUAUUAGGGAAGAACAAAUGUGUAAGUAACUGUGCACGUCUUGACGGUACCUAAUCAGAAAGCCACGGCUAACUACGUG
RNAcentral lists this ribosomal RNA (497 nucleotides) under uncultured bacterium. RNAcentral's name for it is "partial 16S ribosomal RNA". It matches the Rfam family "Bacterial small subunit ribosomal RNA", at positions 28 to 507 of the family's 1533-position model. The record is from RNAcentral.